AUAGCCGUACAAGUAUCUGGCCAAAAUUUCAUGAUCGAGAACAUAAAUCUGAAAGUUCUUAUUGGUCACUCAUAGCCGUACAAGUAUCUGGCCACUAUGGAUGGUCCAUACGAAGCCCUCGGACCGAUCAGCCCUUUAUGGGAGUGCUAGCUCGCACAGUCGCUUUCUAAUGAUGGAUCUAAAUCGAUCUCCUUCUUCGAUCACCUC
RNAcentral lists this long non-coding RNA (207 nucleotides) under Elaeis guineensis (African oil palm). Its description in RNAcentral is "long non-coding RNA (EGUI_LNC055553)". The record is from RNAcentral. Lineage: Eukaryota; Viridiplantae; Streptophyta; Magnoliopsida; Arecales; Arecaceae.